GUUGACCUCGGAUCAGGUAGGAAUACCCGCUGAACUUAAGCAUAUCAAUAAGCGGAGGAAAAGAAACCAACAGGGAUUGCCCCAGUAACGGCGAGUGAAGCGGCAACAGCUCAAAUUUGAAAUCUGGCCCCCCCCCCGCGGGAGGUCCGAGUUGUAAUUUGCAGAGGAUGCUUCUGGCGCGGCGCCUUCCGAGUUCCCUGGAACGGGACGCCACAGAGGGUGAGAGCCCCGUCCGGUCGGACGCCUAGCCUGUGUGAAGCACCUUCGACGAGUCGGGUAGUUUGGGAAUGCUGCCCUAAAUGGGAGGUAUAUGUCUUCUAAAGCUAAAUACCGGCCAGAGACCGAUAGCGCACAAGUAGAGUGAUCGAAAGAUGAAAAGCACUUUGAAAAGAGGGUUAAACAGUACGUGAAAUUGUUGAAAGGGAAGCGCUCAUGACCAGACUUGGGCCCGGGGGAUCACCCGGCGUUCUUUCGCCGGGGCACUUCGCCGGCUGCCCAGGCCAGCAUCAGUUCGCGGCGGGGGACAAAGGCUUCGGGAACGUAGCUCCCUACGGGGAGUGUUAUAGCCCGCUGCGCAAUGCCCUGCCGCGGACUGAGGUUCGCGCUUCCGCAAGGAUGCUGGCGUAAUGGUCAUCAGCGACCCGUCUUGAAACACGGACCAAGGAGUCGUCUUCGUAUGCGAGUGUUCGGGUGUCAAACCCCUACGCGGAAUGAAAGUGAACGCAGGUGAGAGCUUCGGCGCAUCACCGACCGAUCCUGAUGUUCUCGGAUGGAUUUGAGUAGGAGCAUACGGGGCCGGACCCGAAAGAAGGUGAACUAUGCCUGUAUAGGGUGAAGCCAGAGGAAACUCUGGUGGAGGCUCGCAGCGGUUCUGACGUGCAAAUCGAUCGUCAAAUAUGGGCAUGGGGGCGAAAGACUAAUCGAACCUUCUAGUAGCUGGUUUCCGCCGAAGUUUCCCUCAGGAUAGCAGUGUUGAG
This 977-nucleotide ribosomal RNA is filed under the name Pleurocordyceps ramosopulvinata. RNAcentral describes it as "eukaryotic LSU rRNA". It matches the Rfam family "Eukaryotic large subunit ribosomal RNA", at positions 1 to 991 of the family's 3401-position model. The record is from RNAcentral. Lineage: Eukaryota; Fungi; Ascomycota; Sordariomycetes; Hypocreales; Polycephalomycetaceae.